UAGGGAAUCUUCGGCAAUGGACGAAAGUCUGACCGAGCAACGCCGCGUGAGUGAAGAAGGUUUUCGGAUCGUAAAACUCUGUUGUUAGAGAAGAACAAGGACGUUAGUAACUGAACGUCCCCUGACGGUAUCUAACCAGAAAGCCACGGCUAACUACGUGCCAGCAGCCGCGGUAAUACGUAGGUGGCAAGCGUUAUCCGGAUUUAUUGGGCGUAAAGGGAACGCAGGCGGUCUUUUAAGUCUGAUGUGAAAGCCUUCGGCUUAACCGGAGUAGUGCAUUGGAAACUGGGGGACUUGAGUGCAGAAGAGGAGAGUGGAACUCCAUGUGUAGCGGUGAAAUGCGUAGAUAUAUGGAAGAACACCAGUGGCGAAAGCGGCUCUCUGGUCUGUAACUGACGCUGAGGUUCGAAAGCGUGGGUAGCAAACAG
This 428-nucleotide ribosomal RNA is filed under the name uncultured bacterium. Its description in RNAcentral is "bacterial SSU rRNA". It matches the Rfam family "Bacterial small subunit ribosomal RNA", at positions 355 to 775 of the family's 1533-position model. The record is from RNAcentral.